This 305-nucleotide ribosomal RNA is filed under the name uncultured bacterium. Its description in RNAcentral is "bacterial SSU rRNA". It matches the Rfam family "Bacterial small subunit ribosomal RNA", at positions 337 to 659 of the family's 1533-position model. The record is from RNAcentral.
UCCUACGGGAGGCAGCAGUGGGGGAUAUUGCACAAUGGGGGAAACCCUGAUGCAGCGACGCCGCGUGGGUGAAGAAGCGCCUCGGCGCGUAAAGCCCUGUCAGCAGGGAAGAAAAUGACGGUACCUGAAGAAGAAGCCCCGGCUAACUACGUGCCAGCAGCCGCGGUAAUACGUAGGGGGCAAGCGUUAUCCGGAUUUACUGGGUGUAAAGGGGGCGCAGACGGCGAUGCAAGCCAGGAGUGAAAGCCCAAGGCUCAACCAUGGGACUGCUUUGGAACCUGUUAAGCUAGAGUGCUGGAGAGGGA